RNAcentral lists this ribosomal RNA (699 nucleotides) under Bacillus thuringiensis. RNAcentral describes it as "bacterial SSU rRNA". It matches the Rfam family "Bacterial small subunit ribosomal RNA", at positions 33 to 724 of the family's 1533-position model. The record is from RNAcentral. Lineage: Bacteria; Bacillati; Bacillota; Bacilli; Caryophanales; Bacillaceae.
ACGCUGGCGGCGUGCCUAUACAUGCAAGUCGAGCGAAUGGAUUGAGAGCUUGCUCUCAAGAAGUUAGCGGCGGACGGGUGAGUAACACGUGGGUAACCUGCCCAUAAGACUGGGAUAACUCCGGGAAACCGGGGCUAAUACCGGAUAAUAUUUUGAACUGCAUGGUUCGAAAUUGAAAGGCGGCUUCGGCUGUCACUUAUGGAUGGACCCGCGUCGCAUUAGCUAGUUGGUGAGGUAACCGGCUCACCAAGGCAACGAUGCGUAGCCGACCUGAGAGGGUGAUCGGCCACACUGGGACUGAGACACGGCCCAGACUCCUACGGGAGGCAGCAGUAGGGAAUCUUCCGCAAUGGACGAAAGUCUGACGGAGCAACGCCGCGUGAGUGAUGAAGGCUUUCGGGUCGUAAAACUCUGUUGUUAGGGAAGAACAAGUGCUAGUUGAAUAAGCUGGCACCUUGACGGUACCUAACCAGAAAGCCACGGCUAACUACGUGCCAGCAGCCGCGGUAAUACGUAGGUGGCAAGCGUUAUCCGGAAUUAUUGGGCGUAAAGCGCGCCCAGGUGGUUCUUAAGUCUGAUGUGAAAGCCCCGGCUCACCGUGGAGGGUCAUUGGAACUGGGAGACUUGAGUGCAGAAAAGAAAGUGAUCCAUGUGUAGCGGUGAAAUGCGUAGAGAUAUGGAGACACCAGUGGGGAGCGA